Molecule: ribosomal RNA, 693 nt
Filed under: uncultured bacterium
Lineage: Bacteria
Description: bacterial SSU rRNA
Rfam family: Bacterial small subunit ribosomal RNA
Source: RNAcentral
AUGCAAGUCGAGGGGUAUAGUUCUUCGGAGCUAGAGACCGGCGCACGGGUGCGUAACGCGUAUGCAAUCUACCUUUUACAGAGGGAUAGCCCAGAGAAAUUUGGAUUAAUACCUCAUAGUAUGUGAGAAUCGCAUGGUUUUCACAUUAAAGUCACAACGGUAAAAGAUGAGCAUGCGUCCCAUUAGCUUGUUGGUAAGGUAACGGCUUACCAAGGCAACGAUGGGUAGGGGUCCUGAGAGGGAGAUCCCCCACACUGGUACUGAGACACGGACCAGACUCCUACGGGAGGCAGCAGUGAGGAAUAUUGGACAAUGGGCGCAAGCCUGAUCCAGCCAUGCCGCGUGCAGGAUGACGGUCCUAUGGAUUGUAAACUGCUUUUGUACAGGAAGAAACACUCCCUCGUGAGGGAGCUUGACGGUACUGUAAGAAUAAGGAUCGGCUAACUCCGUGCCAGCAGCCGCGGUAAUACGGAGGAUCCAAGCGUUAUCCGGAAUCAUUGGGUUUAAAGGGUCCGUAGGCGGUUUAAUAAGUCAGUGGUGAAAGCCCAUCGCUCAACGGUGGAACGGCCAUUGAUACUGUUAAACUUGAAUUAUUAGGAAGUAACUAGAAUAUGUAGUGUAGCGGUGAAAUGCUUAGAGAUUACAUGGAAUACCAAUUGCGAAGGCAGGUUACUACUAAUGGAUGACGCUGAU